Mauremys reevesii (Reeves's turtle) is the source of this 533-nucleotide long non-coding RNA. RefSeq lists it as uncharacterized. The transcript is spliced from 4 exons. The record is from RefSeq and is a predicted model, not a curated record. Lineage: Eukaryota; Metazoa; Chordata; Testudines; Geoemydidae.
UCCCAGCAGAAUUCAUACUGAUGCAACACGUGAUGAAAAGAGAUUUCAAACAUCUGUGCAGUGGACAUAAAGAAAACAAAUGCUCUGAGAACGUACAGUGUGUGGAGUGAGGCUUCCCUCCCACCUGCCUGUGGCUUCAGAAAAAAAAACAGAACAGGCCUUCUUGAUCCCUGUCAGCCAUGGAGUAACCAGGCCUUAAGGUGGAGUACUGCAAGGUUGGGGUGACGGAUGCGUCCCACAUCUUAUAAUGGAAGAUGAGGCACUAAUGGAAAGGUUCGAGGCAGUUUCAGUGCCAUCUAACGCAGGUAAUGAAACAUCGGCAAAUAGUUUCUGCCCCUUGAAGGGUGAGUCCUCGACUGUUGUCUGGACAUCCCUUGGGAACCCGGAGAGAUGGAGCUAUGAUGCACAGCACAUGACCACAGAUGUCGUGAUGGAUCAUGGUGCCGUGUCUGCCAAGUCAAGGAAGGUCUGGAGGGCUGUCCUGGCAAUGAGACACCCUUCAGAAAUGUUUGCCUUGCACUGUUCUUUUUUGU